This is a long non-coding RNA of Drosophila obscura, 621 nucleotides long. RefSeq lists it as uncharacterized. The record is from RefSeq and is a predicted model, not a curated record. Lineage: Eukaryota; Metazoa; Arthropoda; Insecta; Diptera; Drosophilidae. The transcript has 2 exons.
GCAGAAGUGGCGUCGGGCGGCACACAGCCAGCAGAGGUGCCAGCUGGGGCACAUGAACCAAAUGCUAUAAACAUUCCCGUUCGCGGUAUUCAACGCACCCAAGAACAGAGCUUUCGAUAUACAGAAAACCAAUUGCGCCAUAUUAGACGGCAAUUUUUGCAAGAAGCUGAAUUGAAGGUGCGUUUCUGGUACUAGAGGAUGGAUGGAUGGCGAGGGGUGGAUGGGAUCGACACUGACGGCGCCAAAUAAAACUGGAAAUCGGAAGAGACGUUUGAUUGUUGGCUGAUUUUCCUUUCCUGACGCAUGUUGCUGCCACGCCCGUCCCGCAGUGUUGUUAUUGCCACAAAAAGCUGCAACUAACGAAAGAGCAGAGAGAGAAAGAGAUCUGCAAUCAGUAUUUUAUCCAUUUUGCUUGCAUUUUCAUAGCCUCGAUUGUUAAUUAAUUUGCUUCCCACUCUGCUCUCUCUCUCUCUCUCUCAUCCUCGUGCUCUUCCUUUGACUUUGUUCUUGUGGUUCUGUUUCCUUAAUUGUUUUCGUGUUCCAUAUUUGUUUAUUUUCCUUGCCGCUGGAAAACAUUUCCCAAUUGUUUGCUCACAGCCACAGAUUAAAUCUUUAAAAAUG